Molecule: ribosomal RNA, 1026 nt
Filed under: uncultured Mycoplasma sp.
Lineage: Bacteria; Bacillati; Mycoplasmatota; Mollicutes; Mycoplasmatales; Mycoplasmataceae
Description: bacterial SSU rRNA
Rfam family: Bacterial small subunit ribosomal RNA
Source: RNAcentral
CCACCAAGGCAAUGAUAGAUAGCUGGUCUUAGAGGAUGAACAGCCACAAUGGGAUUGAGAUACGGCCCAUAUUCUUACGGGAAGCAGCAGUAGGGAAUCUUCCACAAUGGACGAAAGUCUGAUGGAGCAAUACCAUGUGAACGAUGAAGGCCUUUUUGGUUGUAAAGUUCUUUUACGAGGGAUAAUUAUGAUAGUACUUCGUGAAUAAGUGACAGCAAACUAUGUGCCAGCAGCUGCGGUAAUACAUAGGUCGCGAGCAUUAUUCGGAUUUAUUGGGCGUAAAGCAAGCGCAGGCGGAUGUGUAAGUUCUGUGUUAAAUGCAGCUACUCAAUAGUUGUAUGCACCGAAUACUACAUGUCUAGAUUGUGGUAGGGAGUUUCGGAAUUAAGCAUGGAGCGGUGGAAUGUGUAGAUAUGCUUAAGAACACCAGAGGCGAAGGCGGAAACUUAGGCCAUAAAUGACGCUUAGGCUUGAAAGUGUGGGGAGCAAAUGGGAUUAGAUACCCCAGUAGUCCACACCGUAAACGAUGGGUAUUAGAUAUUAGGGCUUUAGCUUUAGUGUUGUAGCUUACGCGUUAAAUACCCCGCCUGGGUAGUACAUAUGCAAAUAUGAAACUCAAAGGAAUUGACGGGGACCUGAACAAGUGGUGGAGCAUGUUGCUUAAUUCGAUAAUACACGAAAAACCUUACCAAGGUUUGACAUCCCUCGCAAAGCUAUAGAAAUAUAGUGGAGGUUAUCGAGGUGACAGGUGGUGCAUGGCUGUCGUCAGCUCGUGUCUUGAGAUGUUUGGUUAAGUCCCGCAACGAGCGCAACCCCACUCUUUAGUUACUUUUCUAAAGAGACUGCACAGUAAUGUAGAGGAAGGAUGGGAUCACGUCAAGUCAUCAUGCCCCUUAUGCCUUGGGCUGCAAACGUGCUACAAUGGCGAACACAAUGUGUUGCAAACCAGCGAUGGUAAGCUAAUCACCAAAUUUCGUCUCAGUUCGGAUAGGAGGCUGCAAUUCGCCUCCUUGAAGUUGGAAUCAC